GACGAAGCCAUGGCCCUGGAGGCGGCGGGAGGGCCGCCGGAGGAAACGCUGUCACUGUGGAAACGGGAGCAAGCUCGGCUGAAGGCCCACGUCGUAGACCGGGACACCGAGGCGUGGCAGCGAGACCCCGCCUUCUCGGGUCUGCAGAGGGUCGGGGGCGUUGACGUGUCCUUCGUGAAAGGGGACAGUGUCCGCGCUUGUGCUUCCCUGGUGGUGCUCAGCUUCCCUGAGCUCGAGGUCCUUCUUGUGGAUGGAAACGGGGUACUCCACCACCGAGGCUUUGGGGUGGCCUGCCACCUUGGCGUCCUUACAGACCUGCCGUGUGUUGGGGUGGCCAAGAAACUUCUGCAGGUGGAUGGGCUGGAGAACAACGCCCUGCACAAGGAGAAGGCCCUGAGGAGCCACGACCGCAGCACCAGGCCCCUCUACAUCUCCGUGGGCCACAGGAUGAGCCUGGAGGCCGCUGUGCGCCUGACUUGCUGCUGCUGCAGGUUCCGGAUCCCAGAGCCUGUGCGCCAGGGCCGCGGCUCCUGAGCCUGAAGAACUGGCUGUGACC
Molecule: small RNA, 556 nt
Filed under: Pan troglodytes (chimpanzee)
Lineage: Eukaryota; Metazoa; Chordata; Mammalia; Primates; Hominidae
Description: processed transcript
Source: RNAcentral